This 88-nucleotide transfer RNA is filed under the name Rhodospirillaceae bacterium. Its description in RNAcentral is "tRNA-Leu". It matches the Rfam family "tRNA". Rfam says of the family: Transfer RNA (tRNA) molecules are approximately 80 nucleotides in length. Their secondary structure includes four short double-helical elements and three loops (D, anti-codon, and T loops). The record is from RNAcentral. Lineage: Bacteria; Pseudomonadati; Pseudomonadota; Alphaproteobacteria; Rhodospirillales; Rhodospirillaceae.
GCGGACAUGGUGGAAUUGGUAGACACACUGGAUUUAGGUUCCAGCGGCUUUAUAAACCUUGGGGGUUCGAAUCCCCCUGUCCGCACCA